GCGUCCCAUUAGCUUGUUGGUGGGGUAAUGGCCCACCAAGGCAACGAUGCGUAGCUGGUCUGAGAGGAUGAUCAGCCACACUGGAACUGAAACACGGUCCAGACUCCUACGGGAGGCAGCAGUGGGGAAUAUUGCGCAAUGGGGGAAACCCUGACGCAGCGACGCCGUGUGAGGGAAGAAGGCUUUCGGGUCGUAAACCUCUGUCAGGAAGGAAGAACCUCUCAAGGCUGACCAAGCCUUGGGACUGACGGUACUUCCAGAGGAAGCACCGGCUAACUCCGUGCCAGCAGCCGCGGUUAAUACGGAGGGUGCAAGCGUUAAUCGGAAUCACUGGGCGUAUAGCGCGCGUAGGCCGUCUUGUAAGUCGGACGUGAAAGCCCUCGGCUCAACCGGGGAACUGCGUUUCGAUUACUGGGAGACUUUGAGUCCUGGAGAGGGUGGCGGAAUUCCGGGUGUAGGAGUGAAAUCCCGUAGAUAUCCCGAGGAACACCCGGUGGCGAAGGCU
This 505-nucleotide ribosomal RNA is filed under the name uncultured bacterium. RNAcentral describes it as "bacterial SSU rRNA". It matches the Rfam family "Bacterial small subunit ribosomal RNA", at positions 233 to 723 of the family's 1533-position model. The record is from RNAcentral.